GGGCGGAGUUACAGAACAUUCUUGCGAAGGGGCGUGGCUUAAUAGAAUAUUCCUGAAAGGGCACAGAGUUCAACAGUCACAACAUCUUGAUACUCUGGUAAGAAGGGCUGCCCAGAAGCACAAACUGUUACAUUUUCGGAAGAAAACAUUUUUUUGCAGAUGAAAACUCUGAGGCAAGGCAACAGAGACAACUUGUGCUGGCAUGAAGACUUAGGGUCUUUGUAUUUAGUGACGACCAAGUUAAUUAACCUUCCAGAGACACGUCUUAGAAAAAGCAGACCUGCAUGGUUUCAUGGAAGGAGAAGAGAAGAGAGGAGAAGAUAGAGGGGAAUAGGAGCCAAAAUGGAAGCGACAACCAAGGUGGUCCCGGCCUGGCGAAGUAAAGGGAUAGUGUCUUGGCUUAUUCAUCUAUUCACUAGAAAGC
Molecule: long non-coding RNA, 424 nt
Filed under: Fukomys damarensis (Damara mole-rat)
Lineage: Eukaryota; Metazoa; Chordata; Mammalia; Rodentia; Bathyergidae
Description: lncRNA (ENSFDAG00000030856.1)
Source: RNAcentral